GCGCGUCCGAGCCGAGCGCCUGCGCGAGCCCGACGCACGCCGGAGGAGCCGGGGACCCGGGAGCCCGAGCGAGCGGCCGAGUCGGGGGACACAGCGCCGGCCCUGCGCCGCCGCGGCCAGCCCGGCAUGGAGGAGUGCCGGGUGCUCUCCAUCCAGAGCCACGUCGUCCGAGGCUACGUGGGCAACCGGGCGGCCACGUUCCCGCUGCAGGUUUUGGGAUUUGAGAUCGAUGCAGUGAACUCUGUCCAGUUUUCAAACCACACAGGCUAUGCCCACUGGAAGGGUCAUGUGCUGAAUUCCCAGGAGCUCCAUGAGCUGUACGAAGGGCUGACGCUGAACAGCGUGAAUAAGUAUGACUACGUGCUCACAGGUUACACAAGGGACAAGUCCUUCCUGGCCACAGUGGUGGACAUUGUGCAGGAGCUGAAGCAGCAGAACUCCAAGCUGGUGUAUGUGUGUGAUCCUGUGAUGGGCGACAAGUGGAAUGGUGAAGGCAAAAUGUACGUUCCAGAGGACCUCCUUCCAGUGUACAGGGACAAAGUGGUGCCGUUGGCAGACAUCAUAACUCCCAACCAGUUUGAGGCCGAGUUACUGACUGGCAGAAAGAUCCACAGCCAGGAAGAAGCAUUAAUGGUGAUGGAUGUGCUGCACUCCAUGGGCCCCCACACAGUGGUCAUCACCAGCUCCGAUCUGCCUGCCCCACGGGGCAGUGACUACCUGAUUUCUCUGGGCAGCCAGAGGAUACGGAGGCCAGAUGGCUCCAUGGUGACCCAGCGCAUCCGGAUGGAGAUGCUCAAGGUGGACGCGGUCUUCGUGGGCACUGGGGACCUCUUUGCCGCCAUGCUUCUGGCGUGGACACACAAGCACCCCAACAAUCUCAAGGGGGCCCUGGGGCCGAUGAGGAGAGGCUGUGACUUGAGCCAUGGAAGCAACAGGGCCUCACGCGUGGACCGCUUGAGCCUCGUGUCUGUGCGGAGGAGCACAGGAUUUAUGUGGAAAUAAUUUGAAGCCUGGGCUGUGGCUCAGAGUUGGAGCACUCCCCUGGCACUUGUGAGGGCCGGGUCUAUCCUCAGCACCACAAAAAAUAAAAAAAAAUUAGCUUCUGGGAAAAAGUGUCCCGCUGUGAACACAGGGUUCCUUGUCAGCACUGCUGAGGGCCAGGCUCCCUGGGACUGCCAUGUGGACAGUGGCGAUCUCACCACCGGAGUGGGUCCUCCCAUCCAAGAAGGCUGUUGUGGCACUGGUAGUGGUUAUUGGUAGGACUUGGGUUCAAAUUAGAACCAACUUUGUUUCUACUUUCCAUAGUUCAGUAACAUACAAAAUAAUAGCUAACAAUUUCUGUUGAAAUGGGAGCUUUGUUAGUUUAUUUUUAAGGGAGCUGUGUUUUAAUACUUUGUUAAGGCUGUUCCAAACACCCAGAGACUGUAAGAAGGAAUUAUAAAAUACCCUUUUUAAAUCAAUUUUAAAUCAUUGCCUAGUCCUGCCAAGGUAAUUGUGUGCCUCUUAUUUUUGCAAUAGAUGUCAGUGAUUGUAAAAAUGGUGUUCUGUUUUGUGUCCUGUUCUUAAACUUGUUCGAGCCAGUUUUUAACGUGUUGUUUGAUUUUAUCAUGGACGGGGCUGGGCUUGGCUGAACUGAACUGAUGAACACCGACAGUGUUUUAGAGCAGGGGCAUUGCCUGCCCGGGACGGGCUGGGCUGGGCUGCCCAAGUUCCUGAUGUAACAUCCACCAGCAUCACCUACAAUGAGAAAAUAAGCAGUGUGUGCUAGAGCUCAGGCCCUGCAGAGAGGUACAGGCUGAGCGAGGCCCUGGGGAGGAGGCACGUUGGUCACGACAGCAAGCAGGGGCCCUUGGUCACACUCCUGACCCUGACAUCCAUCUCUUAUUUCUUGGUGCCACACAUUCUUUGGUUGAAAGUAUAGAAAAAAAGAGGUGAGGGUGUUUUGGCCCAAAGAUAAAGCCCUUGCCUUGCCUUUGACAGGACAACUGCUUUGGGACAUCAGUGUCCAUAUUUAUGCUGCUCAGAGGCACCCUAUGACCAUGAGGCUGAACUGUACCUGUGGCCUGAGGAUCAAGAAGCCCUCCUCCCUCCUGCUGCCCAGCUGCUCUCAUGGCCUUCAUGCAAACCUCCUUUUGAGGCAGGGCUCCAUUCGGGAUGCCCCUAAGCAUGUGCUUGGGCCCAGAGAGGGGACUGAAGUUUGGGCAGGGAUAUGAAACUUUGAUGGUGGCUCCCUGAGUCCUGACUCCAGGCACCAGUACUGGUGACUCCAGUACACCCCCACAUGAUGUACUGCUGGGUGUUGUCACUCGUUGCCAUCUCACUGCCAGACUGGAGGAGUUUUCCUUUUGGCCACCCACACAGCUCCUUGCACAAGCCAUGUCUGCCAAAGGAACACAUUAGAUAAAUGCUGACCAGAAGGUGACCAAGUAAGCACUCAGAGCGACCCCAGGACCUGGGGAGGGCAGGUCUGGGAGGCCAGGUCUACUACCUGAAGGCUCUUUCAUGAGCCCUGAGCUAGGAAGAGGAGAGACCAGCAUUUGGGAGCACUGUUCACCCCAGCAGGUCAGGGAGAAUGUCUCUGGGGCUGUGGCAGAGCUGGGCACGCGUGUGCCUGUCAUG
Non-coding RNA from Castor canadensis (American beaver), 2619 nucleotides. The record is from RefSeq and is a predicted model, not a curated record. Lineage: Eukaryota; Metazoa; Chordata; Mammalia; Rodentia; Castoridae.